GUUUUACUCACCAAGGAAUCAGUCAAAGAAUGGGCUAUGAUCAUAUCUGUGUUGAGUUAGGUAAUAUGGUGGAAUACCUUCCAAGAAAUUUCCAAGUUGGCUUAUGUUUUGAGCCACGUAUCUAUGAAGAUCUUCACCGGCCCACACAGGGCAGAUGAGGAUGCAGACAGCCAGGCAAGUUGAUGCACCAAUGAGUAUGGUUACGAGCCUUGCUUGAGCCAACUCUAGAACUUCAUUCAUUCGAAGACCAGAUAUGGAAACCAGGCUAAAUGUCAUGACGAAUAUAAGCAUCCCAUAGUCAUAUUUGGCCUUCACUUUGGGAAAGAAUCGUACGAAAGUCAUGGCUACAGCUGCAAAGAUACAUGCUAUAUUGGUAAUGAGAUCAGGAGCUUAAGGGGUUGUAUCUUUCUUGCUGCAUAUUUACCUUGUAUGAAUACAAAUACUCCAAUCAGAUAUGGUUCGCAUUUUUUCCCAAUUAGGAUGGCCAAGUGAUGAGCUCCGAUAGCAAGAGCAGCAGCUGCUAAGGAUUAUGCUUGAGUUCAAGAAAUGUGGGAACAUACCGACUGAGAAUUCAAAGACAACCACCACAGUCAUGACAGCCCACAUUGCAGAGGCACCAAAGUUGUUGUACAGAGGCCGGAGGUAGUACAACAAUGAUACUAACGUUACUGUUUCUCGUGGAAUGAAGGAGGUAUGAAGCUGGCUCUGCAAUGAGAGUUGUAUGGGUUGAGUUACUUAUAUAGGAACAGAAUGUAUAGGAAUGUGACCAUAGGAAUCAGUUCAUUUGUGAAAAAGAAUGGUCUUUGUGGC
This is a long non-coding RNA of Salvia miltiorrhiza (redroot sage), 810 nucleotides long. RefSeq lists it as uncharacterized. The record is from RefSeq and is a predicted model, not a curated record. The transcript has 4 exons. Lineage: Eukaryota; Viridiplantae; Streptophyta; Magnoliopsida; Lamiales; Lamiaceae.